Long non-coding RNA from Gallus gallus (chicken), 1448 nucleotides. RefSeq lists it as uncharacterized. The transcript is spliced from 3 exons. Lineage: Eukaryota; Metazoa; Chordata; Aves; Galliformes; Phasianidae. The record is from RefSeq and is a predicted model, not a curated record.
AGAUUAACUAGACACUUGGCCAGUGUCAGGCUCCAGGCUGAAGGUUGGAGAGAGGCUAGUCCCCAGACAAAUGAUGCAUGGAAUUUGUAUCUGUGUGUUGCCAUGCCGACGCUGAGCACAGAUUGCUCAAGAUUCAGCAGGACUUGGCAGGGACCUUUAUGCUUCCCAGAGACCCACUGACAGCUUCAUCUAACUGAAGGCUGCCAUGGAAAGAAGCAACCUAGCCUGUUUGUCUCCAUCUGCCACCAGGAUUCUGCCCUGUUUGCAUUGGACCUCUGCAAUUUCAAGACCCAUCACCAGCCAUGCUCAGUGUGAUACAAGGUGGGUCACAACCAGGCCCUUCUCAGUGGAUAGUAUUGGAUCUGUGUUGCUUUGUGAAGACCAGCCCUAUUCCUGGGCAUUCAGGACCACUGAAGUUUGUGGUGAAAGGAUAAGCACAUCUAUUCAGAGCUGAGAUCCACAACCUGAUCGUACGGCUGUAAGAGUCAGCAGCAAAGCUACACCAUCUUCACUCUUGCAGUCAUGAAUAUAAAUUAAGGAGAUGACAAGAGGGGGAAAAGAGUGAUUCGUCUGGGCCCAUGCACACCAUCAGCUGUUGCAGGGAAAAGAGACCAAUACCUGAGUUUCAUUCUCAGGUCACACUGGUUUCCCUACCAAGUCCCAUUGUUUGCUGUAGCAUUCAUACUGAUAUCAGAGUCUUUUCCUAUGUGUGUAUCCAGAUUAUCUAGAGUUCUGUGCCAGGGGUUGAUGAAUGUUCAGCAUAACUUGCAGUAAAUGCCGUCAUUGCGUAAAGCUUCUAAAACUUUGAAAAAUAGCAUGCUGCACUUUUUCCCCUUUUGACAAAGAAGCCUGAGAUAUAAUAGCUGUGGAAUAUCAGAUGCAGAUUUAUUUUUGUCUCUUCAACUGGCCGUGGGUUGUUUGCAUGCAUAUAUAUUUGUAUUUGUGUGGGUCUGGGUGUGUGUUUGUGUGCAUAUGCCCAUAUGCUGUUAGUUUUCUAUUUCUUAUCUUUGAAGAAAAUGACCAUGAAAACUCGUUAAGUUGGUCUAUGCAAGCUGAAUAGCUAACAGGGAGGAAUAAUUUUGUAUCUAACAGAACCCCUCACACUUUAUUAACACUGAAAGGAAAGUGAGAGACCCUUACAUCACCUUGCUAGUUAAUAGCCAGCAAUGUUUGCAUUACUCAGUAUUAAAGGGAUAUUAGACUUCUCUAAUGUUUAAUUUUUGCUUUGUAUUAAAAUAAGCAUCUAUUUGAGUUGAGCAUUGCAAUAGGGAAACAAGGGGAGGAGGGGCUAUUCCUGCAGAUGGCAAUUAGUUUUCUCUUCAGAUUUUGUGGCUGUGAUGAGACCAUGAUCCUGCAGUUCAGCCCUUAAGUGCAGAAGCCUACGGACAUCCACACCAGUACAACAUCUGCCAUACUGACAGAGGCUGCAUGAGCCAGCUCAGAUCUGA